Molecule: transfer RNA, 71 nt
Filed under: Scincella reevesii
Lineage: Eukaryota; Metazoa; Chordata; Lepidosauria; Squamata; Scincidae
Description: tRNA-Ser
Rfam family: tRNA
About the family: Transfer RNA (tRNA) molecules are approximately 80 nucleotides in length.
Source: RNAcentral
GAGAGAGAAGCAUUUUGGUUAUGUUAUUAGCUUGAAACUAAUAGAUGGUGGUUCAAUUCCCCCCUUUCUUG